Molecule: non-coding RNA, 23 nt
Filed under: Mus musculus (house mouse)
Lineage: Eukaryota; Metazoa; Chordata; Mammalia; Rodentia; Muridae
Source: RNAcentral
ACGCCUAACAGGAUAUAACUAUC